This 1252-nucleotide long non-coding RNA is filed under the name Coturnix japonica (Japanese quail). RNAcentral describes it as "lncRNA (ENSCJPG00005001837.1)". The record is from RNAcentral. Lineage: Eukaryota; Metazoa; Chordata; Aves; Galliformes; Phasianidae.
AUGGGGUCUAUGGGGCACCAUGAAUUCUAUGGGGCGCUGUGGAUUCUAUGGGGCCCCAAUGGAUCUAUGGGGCAGCUAUGGGGCACCGUGGAUUCUAUGGGGUGCCAAUGGAUCUAUGGGGCUGCUACGGGGCACUGUGGGGUCUAUGGGGCCCCAAUGGAUCUAUGGGGCAGCUAUGGGGCACUGUGGGGUCUAUGGGACCCCAAUGGAUCUAUGGGGUCGCUAUGGGGCACUGUGGAUUCCAUGGGGCAGCUAUGGGGCACCGUGGAUUCUAUGGGGUGCUGUGGAUUCUAUGGGGCACUGUUGGGUCUAUGGGGCUGCUAUGGGACGCUGUGGUGUCUAUGGGGCUCCAAUGGAUCUAUGGGGCAGCUAUGGGGCACCAAUGGAUCUAUAGGGCCGCUAUGGGGCACCGUGGGGUCUAUGGGACCCCAAUGGAUCUAUGGGGUCGCUAUGGGGCACCGUGGAUUCUAUGGGGCCCCAAUGGAUCUAUGGGGCAGCUAUGGGGCACCAUGGGGUCUAUGGGGUGCCAAUGGAUCUAUGGGGCUGCUAUGGGGCACCGUGGGGUCUAUGGGACCCCAAUGGAUCUAUGGGGUCGCUAUGGGGCACUGUGGUGUCUAUGGGGCCCCAAUGGAUGUGUGGGGCUGCUAUGGGGCACCAUGGGGUCUAUGGGGCAGCACCCUUCAGUGCUUCCUUCCCUGUGCCCCACAGCUGCCCCCCAAGUUGUGGGGCAGCCCCAUGGCACUCCCCACAUCCACCCUCUGCGCCCUCCUGGCCAUCGCCGCCAUCGCCCCAUUGAUUCCAACCACUGACCCACAAGUGGACACCAGCGACCCACAAGUGGACCCUGCCCCACAAGUGACCACCGUGGACCCACAACUGACCAUGGACCCCCAACUGAGCACCCUGGACCCACAAGUGAGCUCCGUGGACCUACAACUGACCCCCAUUGCCCCCCAAGUGGCCACUACUGCCCCACAACUGACCCCCACUGCCCCACAAGUGGACCCCAGCCCCCCAAGUGCCCCCUCUGCCCCACAACUGACCCCCUCUGCCCCACAAGUUGGCCCUAUUGACCCCCAAGUGACCACCCUGGACUCCCAACUGACCUCCACUGCCCCACAAGUGGCCUCUAUUGACCCACAAGUGACCCCCACUGCCCCCCAUGUGGCCCCCAGCCCCCCAAGUGGCCCCUCUGCCCCACAAGUGACCACCCUGGACCCACAACCGACCCCCACUGCCCCACAACUGACCC